GAUGAACGCUGGCGGCGUGCCUAAUACAUGCCAGUCGAGCGAACGGACGAGAAGCUUGCUUCUCUGAUGUUAGCGGCGGACGGGUGAGUAACACGUGGAUAACCUACCUAUAAGACUGGGAUAACUUCGGGAAACCGGAGCUAAUACCGGAUGAUAUUUUGAACCGCAUGGUUCAAAAGUGAAAGACGGUCUUGCUGUCACUUAUAGAUGGAUCCGCGCUGCAUUAGCUAGUUGGUAAGGUAACGGCUUACCAAGGCAACGAUGCAUAGCCGACCUGAGAGGGUGAUCGGCCACACUGGAACUGAGACACGGUCCAGACUCCUACGGGAGGCAGCAGUAGGGAAUCUUCCGCAGUGGGCGAAAGCCUGACGGAGCAACGCCGCGUGAGUGAUGAAGGUCUUCGGAUCGUAAAACUCUGUUAUUAGGGAAGAACAUAUGUGUAAGUAACUGUGCACAUCUUGACGGUACCUAAUCAGAAAGCCACGGCUAACUACGUG
This 497-nucleotide ribosomal RNA is filed under the name uncultured bacterium. RNAcentral describes it as "partial 16S ribosomal RNA". It matches the Rfam family "Bacterial small subunit ribosomal RNA", at positions 28 to 507 of the family's 1533-position model. The record is from RNAcentral.